UACGUAGGUGGCGAGCGUUGUCCGGAAUUACUGGGCGUAAAGGAUGCGUAGGUGGAUAUUUAAGUGGGAUGUGAAAUCCCCGGGCUCAACCCGGGAACUGCAUUCCAAACUGGGUAUCUAGAGUGCAGGAGAGGAAAGCGGAAUUCCUAGUGUAGCGGUGAAAUGCGUAGAUAUUAGGAGGAACACCAGUGGCGAAGGCGGCUUUCUGGACUGUAACUGACACUGAGGCAUGAAAGCGUGGGUAGCAAAC
This 250-nucleotide ribosomal RNA is filed under the name uncultured bacterium. Its description in RNAcentral is "partial 16S ribosomal RNA". It matches the Rfam family "Bacterial small subunit ribosomal RNA", at positions 524 to 773 of the family's 1533-position model. The record is from RNAcentral.